This 705-nucleotide ribosomal RNA is filed under the name uncultured bacterium. RNAcentral describes it as "bacterial SSU rRNA". It matches the Rfam family "Bacterial small subunit ribosomal RNA", at positions 94 to 820 of the family's 1533-position model. The record is from RNAcentral.
AGUGGCGAACGGGUGCGUAACACGUAGGUGACCUGCCCCGAGGUGGGGGAUAACUGUGGGAAACCAUGGCUAAAACCCCAGAUGUCUAAAUUACUAGAAGGUUUAGACUAAAACUCCGGUGCCUCGGGAGGGGCCUGCGGGCUAUCAGCUAGUUGGUGAGGUAAUGGCUUACCAAGGCUAAGACGGCUAGGGGGCGUGAGAGCGUGACCCCCACAAUGGAACUGAGACACGGUCCAUACUCCUACGGGAGGCAGCAGUGAGGAAUAUUGCACAAUGGGGGAAACCCUGAUGCAGCAACGCCGCGUGGAUGAUGAAGGCCUUCGGGUUGUAAAAUCCUUUUCUGGGGAACGAUAAUGACGGUACCCCAGGAAUAAGUCCCGGCUAACUACGUGCCAGCAGCCGCGGUAAAACGUAGGGGGCGAGCGUUAUCCGGAUUUACUGGGCGUAAAGCGCACGUAGGCGGCAUCGUAAGUUGGGCGUUAAAGCUCCUGGCUUAACUGGGAGAGGUCGUUCAAUACUGCGGUGCUUGAGGUUGAAAGAGGAGAGCGGAAUUCCCGGUGUAGUGGUGGAAUGCGUAGAUAUCGGGAGGAACACCAGUGGCGAAAGCGGCUCUCUGGUUCACACCUGACGCUGAGGUGCGAAAGCGUGGGGAGCGAACGGGAUUAGAUACCCCGGUAGUCCACGCUGUAAACGAUGGAUACUAGG